RNAcentral lists this ribosomal RNA (443 nucleotides) under uncultured bacterium. RNAcentral describes it as "SSU rRNA". It matches the Rfam family "Bacterial small subunit ribosomal RNA", at positions 26 to 517 of the family's 1533-position model. The record is from RNAcentral.
AGAACGAACGCUGGCGGCAGGCCUAAUACAUGCAAGUCGAACGAUGUAGCAAUACAUAGUGGCGCACGGGUGAGUAACGCGUGGGAAUCUGCCCAUUAGUACGGAAUAACUGCGGGAAACUGCAGCUAAUACCGUAUACGCCCUUCGGGGAAGAUUUAUCGCUAAUGGAUGAGCCCGCGUAAGAUUAGCUAGUUGGUGGGGUAAAAGCCUACCAAGGCUACGAUCUUUAGCUGGUCUGAGAGGACGACCAGCCACACUGGAACUGAGACACGGUCCAGACUCCUACGGGAGGCAGCAGUAGGGAAUAUUGGACAAUGGGGGGAAACCCUGAUCCAGCCAUGCCGCGUGAGUGAUGAAGGCCUUAGGGUUGUAAAGCUCUUUUACCAGGAAGAUAAUGACGGUACCUGGAGAAUAAGUUCCGGCUAACUUCGUGCCAGCAGCCG